Molecule: long non-coding RNA, 6613 nt
Filed under: Sus scrofa (pig)
Lineage: Eukaryota; Metazoa; Chordata; Mammalia; Artiodactyla; Suidae
Description: lncRNA (ENSSSCG00030038082.1)
Source: RNAcentral
CUAUAUCUUCUUUAAUGAGAUGUCUACUCAAGUCUUUUNCCCACUUUUAAAACUGGGCUGUUUAUUUUCUUAUUGUUGAGUUCUCAGAGUUUGUUGGAUAUUUUGAAUGAAAGUCCAUUCAGAUAAGUUCUUUGCAAAUAUUUUCCUCCAGUCUGUAGCUUACCUUUUCAUUCUCUUCGUGGUGGUCUUUUGCAGGCUGAAAGCUUUUAAUUUUUUUUUUUUUUUAGGGCCACACUUGGAGCAUAUGGAGGUUCACAGGCUAGGGGUUACAUUGGAGCUGUAGCUGCCAGCCUAUGCCAGAGUCACAGCAACGCGGGACCUAAGGCACAUCUGCAACGGACACCACAGCUCACAGCAACGCUGGAUCCUUAACCCACUGAGCAAGGCCAGGGAUCGAACCCACAUCUUCUGGAUGCUAGCUGUGUCGCUAAUGCCUAAAAGCUUUCAAUUUUAAUGAAGUCCAGCUUAUCAAUUAUUCUUUCACAGAUCUUAACUUAUAGUGUUAUAUCUAAAAAGUCAUCAUCAUACCCAAGCUCAUCUAGGUUUUCUCCUAUGUUAUCAUCUGGGAGUUUUAUAGUUUUACAUUUAGAUCUAUGAUCCAUUUUGAGUUAGUUUUUGUGAAAAGUAUAAGGCCUUUGUCCAGAUCCAGUAUUUUGCAUGUUGAUGUCUGCUUAUUUCAGCACCAUGUGUUGCAAAGAUGAUCAUUUCUCCAUUGUAUCAUCUUGCUCCUUUGUCAAAGAUCAGUUGACUAUGUUAUGUGGGUCUAUUUCUAAACUCUCUGUUCUGUUCCAUUGAUCUAUUUGUCUCUUCUUUUGCCAAUACCACACUGUCUUGAUUACUGCAGUUUUAUAGUAAAGGUUGAAAUUGGGUAGUUUGCUCUCUGAUUUUGUUCUAUAAUAUUCUGGGUCUUUUCCCUCUCCGUAUAAACUUUAGAAUCAGUUUGCCAACAUUUGCAGAAUAACUUGCUGGGAUUUUGAUCUGAAUUGUAUUAAAUCUAUAGACCAAAUUGGGAAGAGCUGACAUCUUGACACUAUUGAGUCUCCCCAUCUAUGAACAUGUAACAUCUCUCAAUUUAUUUUGUUCUUUCAUCAGAGUUUUGUGGUUUUUCUCAUAUAGAUCUUGUAUUUUGUUACCUUUAUACCUAAGGAUUUUAUUUUUUGGAGUACUAAUGUAAAUGGUAUCGUGUCUUAAAAUUCAAGUUCCACUUGUUUAUAGGAAAGCAAUUGAUUUUUGUGUAUUAAUCUUGUAUCUUGCAACCUUGCUAACAUUGCUUAUUGGUUCCAGAGUGUUUUUGUCAGUUUCAGACUUUUUGCAUAGAUGAUCAUGUCAUCUAUGAACAAAGACAAUUUUGUUUCUUGUUUUCCAAUUUAUAUUCCGUCUGUCUCAUUGCAUUAACUAGCACUGACACAACAAUGUUGAAAAAGAGUGGUGAGAUAAGACAUUCUUGUCUUGUACCCAAUCUUAGUAGGAAAUCUUCUAGUCCCAUCAUUAAGCAUGAGAGAUGUAUUGUUUUUGCAGAUGUCCAUAAUCUGUAUGAAUAACCAUAAUUUUAAUCUGUUUUGUGUGAGUAUCGUAAGUCUUUUGAAAUAUUACUUAGAAGUGGAACAAUAGGCACUCAGGUAAUGCUGAACUAUGAAAGCAAGUUUACCAGAUAUCACUUUUAUAAAAAUGUGCUUUAAAUCAACUAGCUAAAGAAAAUUGUUCAUAAGUAGUUUCACACUAAACUCCAGAAAACAUAGGUUCCUCUGGCUGGUCUUUAGUCUAUGUGUUGUUAAAUACAUUCUUUCCUAACUGACCAUAAUUAAAUGUUAUGGAUUCUACCACUAUGAUCUAUAUUUUGUUCACCAUUAGUUUCAUGAUGGUUUCAAUAAUUACAUCUUUCAACCUUUUUUGUGUGGCUAGCACUAUACUAAAAUACAAAAAGACGUUUAAGUCAGAGUGUCCUGCUUCUAGGGACUUAAAGAUCUAUUAAGGGGUCAAGAGAGACAUUAGGAACAGCCAAGAGACAAUGCAAAGCAGAGUAUAAUUAAUCAUCAAAAUGAGAGAUGUUGGUUAUAAGGGCAAAAGAAGUGCAGGAUACGGAAGACAAUGUGGACGAGAGAUAUUAUGGAAGAUAUUAGAAAACAGUAAGAAGUUAGUUCUCAUAGGGUAGGCUGGAUUGACAAAUGUGAAAGCAAGAGGGAAAGGUAUUUCUUCCAGGUAUCUGGUCAGCAUGAGCAAUGGCUUGGAGUUGGGAAUGAGCAUGAUAUGACUAAGAACAGUAGAAGCAGAGCAUGAAAAGAAUGGUCAUGGAGCUUAGAUGGAUCCAUGCAGUAAGUAUCUCCUUAAGGUGUGUUGGUUGGUGAUUUUAUUUUCUCUAAUGAUAAAGGAGGGGAACUUUACACUUUUACAGAACAAUUACAACCAUGAUUUAGUUUCAGUUUGUACUGUGCAUUUUAAGUAAUUGUAGGAAUAUGACAGGAUGACCAAAACUGCCCCUCCCUUUAGGGUUGUUGGGUUACAAUGUGGUCUUUCCCUCUUUCCCCCUACAGUUUUGGAAGGCAGUGAGAGAACCAGCCUGGAACAGUGGGCUGCUGCAUUUGCAGGUUGGAUGAAGGCAGAUGCUUGGGCCCAUUGAUAAUGUUUGCCUUCUGUUAUUUGAGUUUUCCUCUGACUCCCUCCCGGAAAGUAAGGCGCUAUUCACCCAAAGAAUGAAAGCCCCUUUACUAUCAUUGUAAAGACAGAAUUGGCUGCUGCAUCUAUAGAGAAGUGCUUAGUAUACCAUAUAUGUGCAACUUUGGAGUUCGUGCUACUUUCAGUUGAGCCCCAGUUUUCUAUCUCUUCAAUAACUGGAAAUUUCCUGCGAGUGUGGCUUAUCAUUAUCAUGUUUUAGUGACAGCGAGGAGCCUGCAUCACAGAGCCUUGUUGUAUUAAUGCUCCAGGUUGCUUCUGCUAACCCUCUGAGGAGUAAGACGGUGGAAUGCAAAGGUUACUGGUGCUCUCUGGGGUCAGAGUGCACACAGGGCUAGUAUUGAUCAUCUCCCUGGUUCCUACCCUACUCUGGGGAAGUUUAACAGUCACAGUAGCCACUGCAAAGCUACAUAAAGGUUUCAACAUCAACUUUCCAAAGCUUAAAAAAGGCAGGCAGGGCUGUAUUUCUCUCUCUCUUCAUAGUGCUCAUCAUUUAUAAAUCUUUCACUCUGAAAGAUAGUACCAUAUGUUUUCUUGAAGGGCUUUCUUGAUUACUGUAGAUUAAGGCUAUCAUUUACUAAUAUAUUCAAGAGUGUUUAUUGCAAAAAUCCUAUGCUUGGGGUUGGGAAGACAGUGGUGUGCAAAACAGCUAGUCACCGCUCUCAAGGUUCAGAGUAUAGUAGGAAAGGCAAAAAAAUAAACCAUAGCUGAAAUGCAGAGGAAGAGGGAUUCAGGAAGAGGAAGAGCCUGGGCAAAGAACUGGUGUUGUGGGAGCCAAGAGUGCUGGGGAGGGUGGUAAAAGGAAUGCAAACAAAUACCAGCCACAGGGGUAGGAUUCUGACCUUGAUGGUCCCAGAAAGUCCUCCUGAGAAGUGUGACUUUUAUCAGAAGUGCAAUGGGGAACCAUGGAAGAAUUUAAAGCCAAAAGUGCAUACUGGAAAGAUGUACAUUGCACCUAUAUUGAAAACAGAGUUACAGACAAAGGCUUGUUGACAAAUCUUAACUCUCUAAAUGUAUCUCUAAUUCUGCCACAUAGUCACAUAAUCACCUGCUGGCAUUAUUUUUCCUUUUGGUUAAGGAUGAAUUAUGGGGGAAAAAAAUCAAAAGUAGUGCGGGUCCUCUGAAUUCUCUAGGACUCAGAGAUUUCCAUGAGGAUGACUGAGGCGGAGACUGACACUUCAAAACAAUAAAGGAAACUGUUUUCAUAGUGUUCAGAUGAGAAAAGGUGAAUGAAAGCAGUCAAGAUGUUGACAGGGGUUGUUUCUAUUAUGAAUGAUUUUAUAUUAUGACUUAUAUUUUUCAACAGUCUCUAAAUGUCUUUAUUUUAUAACUGAGAAAACACUGUUUUUAAUUUAGAGUAUAGUAAAGUUAAACUUUCCCAAAUUUUUCUUCUUUCUUUUAUUCUUUUAUCUUCCUUCCAUCUCCACCUAUCCCGAAGGUCACAGAGAGCAUGUUUUGAUUCGCUAUUCAUUAUUCAGGACCCUGGGACCCUGGAGGAAAAGUCCUGGGAGGUUAUACUGACACAGAAGUGAUAAAUUCCAUUUCACCAUUGAUUUUUAUAGCUGCUGCAUUUCUUUCAGCCUCUUCUUGCCCCAAGCAGCAUUAAUAAUAGAUGACAUGUCUUCUUCUGAAUUUAAUGUUUAGUCUGUCGCUGAAGCAGGCCCAUGCAACUAACAUGUUCUUGUUUUCUUUUUGGCCACACCCUUGCCAUGUGAAAGUUCCAGGGCCAGGGAUCAAACUCAAGCCAAAGCAGUAACCUGAGCCACAGCAGUAACAAUACACAAUUCUUAACCUCUGGCCACCAGGGAACUCCAACAUGGCUUUUCUUCUGAAAUCCUAUGUCCUGAAAUAGCUCUGAAACAUAUUUAGUGGUGGGGGGUGUGUAGGCUAUCAUCAGAUGUGCAACUUUAACUGAAUGACUUGGAUGACUUGGUCCAGGCCUUAUGUGAGACUUGGGUGAUAGACUCUCUUUUAAACAAAGAAGACACUAAAACACAGAAAGGUUAAGCAACUUGACCAAGGCCAUGGAGCUAGUUAGUGGCACAACUGGGGACUGGAUUUAUACUUAAAUUUUCCUAUUCCUAGACUAUCCUUCUCACUCUGUCUAAUCGCCUGCCCAUUAAUGGGGACAGCCUGGGGAGAAGGUGCUGGGAGGGGAUGUGAUGGCUGCAUGGUGAGCUCAUAACAGGCGCAGAGGGGAUGAGGGAGGUGGGAGGGUGGAGGAUGGAAAUCAACAGGGGAGGAAAACAGGGGGUGGGCCAACCCCAGGGCAAGGCUCAAACAAUCCAGUCUAAUCCAAAUCAGGCUGGCAAGCAUCUUUGAUUGGUCCAUCCGGCUGAGUUCUCCAAGCUGUAUUCCCUGAACUGUGCCCAGCUGGCAGAAUGAAAAUCAUUUGAAAAAUAUCCGGAAAUUGCUACUCACCAGGGAGCAUCUGUGAAAAAUACUGGCCACAAAUGAGCUGGCAGGGACUCAGUAACUGCCAGGUCACUCUGCCAUAGCCAGUUUGUCUGAAGGGGUUCUGCAGUUAUUUCCCAGUUGGGCCACUCAGCUGCUGUAUGUGGUUGGGCCUUGGGGACUUUUUUUUUUUUUUACAGUGUUUCUUUUGAAGCAGGAGAUGUGCUCUAGAAAAGCUAUGGGUAAAUCAGAGUUUCGUACCUGGAAUCAUAGUUUUCAAGUGCACUCAUGAAUAUUCCUGUGGUAACUCUCUAAACUGAAAGAUUUUUCACAAAUAAUUUCCAUUUUGUAAAUCUGGAUUUCUUAAUGCAAAAUUCAUCCAGGGUCAUCCUGGUGAAGAAAUUCCAGGGCAUAGACGUAAUCUGCAUUUUUGCACAAUCAUUGCCGGGAAUGGUAGUGAGAAGCAGGGUUAGAUCAUCUUCUCAGUAGACUGGGAUCCUAAGAUUUGGCAACUUGUCCAGCCUCUGGUCCCAGUGGCUCCUUAGGAAAUCACAGCUGGAAAAACCUAGCCGUUCAUUUCAGCUCGUCGUUUCUUAUGCCUGGUUAUUCCCAGGAUCCUCCAGUGGUUUUUCUUGUCUCCUACAUCCUAAUGUCCUCUUCACAAUGCUGAUGUUCUCAGCAAGAUGUAAUGCAAAUAUUUUGCUUUGAGCUCAGAGUCCAGGCUCUUUGAUCUUCUUUGGGUAUGAGACCACUUGCUGACCCUUCUGGACUGUUUGCUGUUUUCUCUGGUCUUUUCACCUGCUGGGUAGAAUCAAGCAGUUCUUCAGAAAAGAGUGUUCUGAAUUUUAAGAGAACAGUUGAAAUUAAGAGAAUAAAAUGUGUGCUGACCAUUUGUAUUAGUCAGAGUUCUCUAGAGAAACAGAACCAACAGGAUAUAGAUGUAGAGAGACGUGUGUGGAUAUGGGUAUGAGGAGAGUAUCAGAGGAACUGGCCCAUGUGAUUACAGAGUCUGAGAAGCUCCACCGUCUACCACCUGUGAGCAGGAGAACCAAGAAAGCCUGUGGGGUGUUGCCAUUUAGUCAAAGUCCAAAGGUCUGAGAACCAGGGGAGCCACUGGUAUAAGUCUGGGUUGCAGUCCCAGGACCGAAGAUCCAGGAGUGCUCAUGACUGAGGGUGGAGAAGACAGAUGUUCUGGCUUAACACAGACAGCAAAUGUGCCCUUCCUCUACUUUCCUGUUCCAUUCCUGGCUCAGCAGCUUGGACGAUGCCCACCUGCGUGGCGAGGGCAAUGUUUGUUACUCAGUCCACUGAGUCAAACCCUAAUCUCUUCCUGAAGCACCCUGACAUCAUGUUUUAUCAGUUAUCAUGCAUCUCUUAGCCCAGGCAGGCAGACACGUGAAAGGAACCAUUGUACAUCAUCCAAAUCAAAUACACAAACUGCCCUGCUCAUGACCGUCUAUCCUCUCGGUGGCCUGUCUGGGGGCUUCUAUCUCUUUUAAAGACAUGCAAGCCUGAAAAGAAAGAAAGCACAGGGAUGGAAACGAUCUAG